UUGGGUGACAAACUGGAUUUAAAAAAAACAAAAACAGCAGGUUUUGUUUAAUUGCACACAUCCCGACACCUCCUUAAAACUGUGGGAGAUGAGGAGGGUGGGCCUGGGGCCGGUGGGCUGGACGCUGCAGCCAGAGGCCAGCGGUCCUGGUCCGCGGCUCGUGGCCGCUCUCGUCCAGGAGCCUCUUCUGGUAAUGUAUUCUGAAACCAAAUUACGGAGGAAAUUGGAUAGGCUCGUUAGCGCAGACGAGCGGCUCUGCCAGGGCUGGAGGCUGAUGGAACGUUCAGGAGCACACACCAGCCACAUCUCCAUCCAGCGCCGCUCAGGCCGCGUCCCGGCCGGCGCAGGGAACGAAGAAGUAGAAAAGCAGGCUGAGCGUCCGGGCUGGAAUGCCAAUAGGAGACACAGGAAGCACGCGGUUUGCAUCAGACCUGGGCUGUGGGAUGUGUUCACCUUAAAUAUCUAAAAAUCACCAGUUUGCCUACAGACGAGAGCAGAUGAAACUCCAUCAUCUGAGCUGCAGGUGGAGGCGACGCCCGCGGGUCAGUCUACAAACUGUCUACUCGUGAUUCCACAUCAGUGCUGUGCUAAUUACAUGGACUGAUCCAUGUGAUCUUCUGCAGCAUGCAUCACGGCCACAUCCAGCUUCAAAUACCACUCUACGAUAAGAGCGCAGCUCAACCAGAGACACGACAUAAACUUAAUGUGAACAUGUGAAAUUAGGAAAUGA
Molecule: long non-coding RNA, 730 nt
Organism: Betta splendens (Siamese fighting fish)
Lineage: Eukaryota; Metazoa; Chordata; Actinopteri; Anabantiformes; Osphronemidae
Exons: 3
Source: RefSeq, a predicted model, not a curated record